GGAAUUUUGGUCAAUGGUCGAAAGCCUGAUCCAGCAAUGCCGCGUGCAGGAUGAAGGCCCUCGGGUUGUAAACUGCUUUUGUACGGAACGAAAAGACUGAGGCUAAUAUUCUCGGGUCAUGACGGCACCGUGAGAAUAAGAACCGGCUAACUACGUGCCAGCAGCCGCGGUAAUACGUAGGGUGCAAGCGUUAAUCGGAAUUACUGGGCGUAAAGCGUGCGCAGGCGGUUUUGUAAGACAGUGGUGAAAUCCCCGGGCUCAACCUGGGAACUGCCAUUGUGACUGCAAGGCUGGAGUGCGGCAGAGGGGGAUGGAAUUCCGCGUGUAGCAGUGAAAUGCGUAGAUAUGCGGAGGAACACCGAUGGCGAAGGCAAUCCCCUGGGCCUGCACUGACGCUCAUGCACGAAAGCGUGGGGAGC
Molecule: ribosomal RNA, 419 nt
Filed under: uncultured bacterium
Lineage: Bacteria
Description: bacterial SSU rRNA
Rfam family: Bacterial small subunit ribosomal RNA
Source: RNAcentral